GCCAGCAGCCAUGUCACCCUGCAACUCACAACUGGUUGUCCACCAGCAGGUGUGAGCCUGGUCAGUACCUGGGUGGGAGACCUCCUGGGAAAGGUAAGGUUGCUGCUGGAA
RNAcentral lists this ribosomal RNA (111 nucleotides) under Lepisosteus oculatus (spotted gar). The record is from RNAcentral. Lineage: Eukaryota; Metazoa; Chordata; Actinopteri; Semionotiformes; Lepisosteidae.